RNAcentral lists this long non-coding RNA (1409 nucleotides) under Salmo salar (Atlantic salmon). Its description in RNAcentral is "lncRNA (ENSSSAG00000083289.1)". The record is from RNAcentral. Lineage: Eukaryota; Metazoa; Chordata; Actinopteri; Salmoniformes; Salmonidae.
AAACAGGAAGCUUGCAUGGACACUGGAGUCCAUUAGAUUAGAGAGCUUGUACUCCUGCAUUUCCAAUGACUUAGAGGCAAUCUGCAGUUGCUACAUUUAUUUUUGACUUAUAAGUUAAAGAUAUAUACCUAUUGUUUCUUGAAGAAUAUAACUUAUCCUUAUGAGCUUAGUUCAACUGUUGUACCACAUCAGAACCCAAAAUAUAAGCUUGUUUUACUCCAAUAUUUGUAAAAAAAGAAGAAAUAUAAACACACUUUAUAAACUCAAAACAUAAUUUUGAUAUCAUGGAUCAGUCCUUGUAUCCAUAGCUCUGUCUAUGAAUUUGAAAGUUGUUACAUUUCUCCAUUCCUCAUCUUUUUACCAAAACAGUGGUGGGGUGCCUGCUUUGUUAAUGUUUCAACUGCGGACUGGCUCUUUAAAUCUAAUAAUGUAGAGAGUCAGGCGUUUGCGUGUGUGUGGUUCAGAGUUUUCGUCCACCUCUGACUCAGGAGAAGGUAACUGAGAAAGCAUUUUGCAUAUGAGUACAAUGUAAAACCUUAACGGUUAUCAAUGUGGAUGUAAACAGUAGCUGCACUGCAUUAACACUGAAAACUCAAAGAAUUUGAUUCUCGUUUUGCCUAAUAAAUUGUUGUAGAACCAAUGUGAAAGACAAACUAGAUUUUGUGGACUUUAGCUUACUAGAAAGUGUUGAGGUUGUGUUGUGUUUGAGUAGUGAUCACCCUUUUGCUUCCAUGUCUGUGGGACUGCAUCUCACUGCAUGCAGUUUUAGACAUUGAUCAGGAGUUGCCUGACACUGGUAUUGCCCUGAUGCUCUUUGGGAUAUGUAACGGUAUGUUUAUUAUAUCCUGAAUUACGCUGUGGAAGGCCUAAACUUUGCAAGGGAUUCUUCCCUUAAAUAAUGUUUGUUUCCCUCCCAUUCUUAAAAUGUCCUGUUGUCCUGAUAGUUGAGUUCCUAUGUUUCUGUUCUUUGUUGGCCUCACAUGUAGUCUACACUCUUAUGAAAGAGAUGAGCUAGCAAGGUGAACUGAAGAUGCCUUUAGUGCAUCAACAACCACCCAACAUCCCAACUAACUUGAUUUAACAUUCCCCUGGGCCUACGGUAUCGGAGGAUGUUUUGUAAGCAUGGCCAGGAUUGUUGGGAACUCCUGUGAGAGGCAGGAGUGCAACUCUGCAAAAUUGCAUGUAGGAGGUAAUAAACGUCCAUUAUCAUUCAAAGUGAUGAUACUUUGGUAUAACUUACAGUAUGGAAAAAGCAUGCCACAAUACUACUCCAUACACUGGUUCUACUAAACAAAACUACAGUAUGUUGAUCUUUUUGAUAAAAAAAUGUUUUGCAUGGGACCAGCAGACUUUGUAUAAGUAUGAUUAGUUAUAUAACUAUAUAUUUACAAUAAACUUAACAUGGAAGC